This 648-nucleotide ribosomal RNA is filed under the name uncultured marine eukaryote. Its description in RNAcentral is "SSU rRNA". It matches the Rfam family "Eukaryotic small subunit ribosomal RNA", at positions 617 to 1266 of the family's 1831-position model. The record is from RNAcentral.
GGUUAAAAAGCUCGUAGUUGGAUCUCGGCAAGUAGAGGGCGGUAUGCUUCGUAGCAUUACUGCCCUAUUACUUGUAGUUUUGCCAGAGGUUCCUGGGUGCUCUUAAUCGAGUGUCUAGGGAUGCUGGCAGGUUUACUUUGAAAAAAUUAGAGUGCUCAAAGCAGGCUAUUACGCUUGAAUAUUCGUGCAUGGAAUAAUAGAAUAGGAAGUUGUUUCUAUUUUGUUGGUUUUCGGAAAUCGACUUAAUGAUUAAUAGGGACAGUCGGGGGCAUUUGUAUUCAAACGACAGAGGUGAAAUUCUUGGACCGUUUGAAGACAAACUACUGCGAAAGCAUUUGCCAAGAAUGUUUUCAUUAAUCAAGAACGAAAGUUAGAGGUUCGAAGGCGAUUAGAUACCGCCCUAGUUCUAACCAUAAACGAUGCCAGCUAGCGAUCUGAGGACGUUUUUUUUGUAGACUCCUCAGGAAGCUUCCGGGAAACCAAAGCGUGUGGGUUCCGGGGGAAGUAUGGUUGCAAAGCUGAAACUUAAAGGAAUUGACGGAAGGGCACCACCAGGAGUGGAGCCUGCGGCUUAAUUUGACUCAACACGGGAAAUCUCACCAGGCCCGGACACUGGAAGGAUUGACAGAUUGAGAGCUCCUUCUCGAU